RNAcentral lists this ribosomal RNA (255 nucleotides) under uncultured bacterium. RNAcentral's name for it is "partial 16S ribosomal RNA". It matches the Rfam family "Bacterial small subunit ribosomal RNA", at positions 524 to 776 of the family's 1533-position model. The record is from RNAcentral.
UACGUAGGCAGCAAGCGUUGUUCGGAGUUACUGGGCGUAAAGGGUGUGUAGGCGGUUGUUUAAGUUUGGUGUGAAAUCUCCCGGCUCAACUGGGAGGGUGCGCCGAAUACUGAAUGACUAGAGUGCGGGAGAGGAAAGUGGAAUUCCUGGUGUAGCGGUGAAAUGCGUAGAUAUCAGGAGGAACACCGGUGGUGUAGACGGCUUUCUGGACGACAACUGACGCUGAGACGCGAAAAGCGUGGGGGAGCAAACAGG